CCUACGGGAGGCAGCAGUGGGGAAUAUUGCACAAUGGGGGAAACCCUGAUGCAGCGACGCCGCGUGAGUGAAGAAGUAUUUCGGUACGUAAAGCUCUAUCAGCAGGGAAGAAAAUGACGGUACCUGACUAAGAAGCCCCAGCUAACUACGUGCCAGCAGCCGCGGUAAUACGUAGGGGGCAAGCGUUAUCCGGAUUUACUGGGUGUAAAGGGAGCGUAGACGGCAGCGCAAGUCUGGAGUGAAAUCCCAUGGCUUAACCAUGGAACUGCUUUGGAAACUGUGCAGCUAGAGUGCAGGAGAGGUAAGCGGAAUUCCUAGUGUAGCGGUGAAAUGCGUAGAUAUUAGGAGGAACACCAGUGGCGAAGGCGGCUUACUGGACUGUAACUGACGUUGAGGCUCGAAAGCGUGGGGAGCAAACAGGAUUAGAUACCCGGGUAGUC
Molecule: ribosomal RNA, 440 nt
Filed under: uncultured bacterium
Lineage: Bacteria
Description: partial 16S ribosomal RNA
Rfam family: Bacterial small subunit ribosomal RNA
Source: RNAcentral